UACAGAGGCCCCGAGCGUUAUCCGGAAUAACUGGGCGUAAAGCGUCUGUAGGCGGGAUAGCACGUCUGCCGUAAAAUCAGUGGGCUCAACCCACUGCCCGCGGUGGAUACGGCUAUUCUUGAGGCAGGGAGAGGUCAGUGGAACUUCUGGUGGAGCAGUGAAAUGCGUUGAUAUCAGAGGGAACACCAAUUGCGAAGGCAGCUGACUGGUCCUGUCCUGACGCUCAGAGACGACAGCGUGGGGAGCGAAGCGG
RNAcentral lists this unclassified non-coding RNA (253 nucleotides) under uncultured Parcubacteria group bacterium. RNAcentral's name for it is "contains 16S-23S intergenic spacer region". It matches the Rfam family "Bacterial small subunit ribosomal RNA", at positions 524 to 776 of the family's 1533-position model. The record is from RNAcentral.